RNAcentral lists this ribosomal RNA (695 nucleotides) under Kocuria rhizophila. RNAcentral's name for it is "bacterial SSU rRNA". It matches the Rfam family "Bacterial small subunit ribosomal RNA", at positions 820 to 1506 of the family's 1533-position model. The record is from RNAcentral. Lineage: Bacteria; Bacillati; Actinomycetota; Actinomycetes; Micrococcales; Micrococcaceae.
GUGUGGGGGAACAUUCCACGUUUUUCCGCGCCGUAGCUAACGCAUUAAGUGCCCCGCCUGGGGCAUACGGCCGCAAGGCUAAAACUCAAAGGAAUUGACGGGGGCCCGCACAAGCGGCGGAGCAUGCGGAUUAAUUCGAUGCAACGCGAAGAACCUUACCAAGGCUUGACAUACACCGGACCGGGCCAGAGAUGGUCUUUCCCCCUUGUGGGGCUGGUGUACAGGUGGUGCAUGGUUGUCGUCAGCUCGUGUCGUGAGAUGUUGGGUUAAGUCCCGCAACGAGCGCAACCCUCGUUCUAUGUUGCCAGCACGUGAUGGUGGGGACUCAUAGGAGACUGCCGGGGUCAACUCGGAGGAAGGUGGGGAUGACGUCAAAUCAUCAUGCCCCUUAUGUCUUGGGCUUCACGCAUGCUACAAUGGCCAGUACAAUGGGUUGCGAUGCCGUGAGGUGGAGCUAAUCCCAAAAAGCUGGUCUCAGUUCGGAUCGUGGUCUGCAACUCGACCACGUGAAGUCGGAGUCGCUAGUAAUCGCAGAUCAGCAACGCUGCGGUGAAUACGUUCCCGGGCCUUGUACACACCGCCCGUCAAGUCACGAAAGUUGGUAACACCCGAAGCCGGUGGCCUAACCCUUGUGGGGGGAGCCGUCGAAGGUGGGACUGGCGAUUGGGACUAAGUCGUAACAAGGUAACCGAUAA